UCAUACACACACAUUUCUCAUUUACACUAUGUUGAAAAACGAGAAAAAA
This 49-nucleotide small RNA is filed under the name Caenorhabditis elegans. RNAcentral describes it as "Unclassified non-coding RNA Y105E8A.40". The record is from RNAcentral. Lineage: Eukaryota; Metazoa; Nematoda; Chromadorea; Rhabditida; Rhabditidae.